RNAcentral lists this transfer RNA (76 nucleotides) under Fidelibacterota bacterium MT.SAG.3. Its description in RNAcentral is "Candidatus Marinimicrobia bacterium MT.SAG.3 tRNA-Gly". It matches the Rfam family "tRNA". From Rfam's summary of the family: Transfer RNA (tRNA) molecules are approximately 80 nucleotides in length. The record is from RNAcentral. Lineage: Bacteria; Pseudomonadati; Fidelibacterota.
GCGGUUGUAGCUCAGUUGGUAGAGCGUCAGCUUCCCAAGCUGGAUGUCGCGGGUUCGACCCCCGUCAACCGCUCAA